CUAUAACUUUUAUUAGUUAUGGCGAGAGGAG
RNAcentral lists this non-coding RNA (31 nucleotides) under unclassified sequences. The record is from RNAcentral.